CCUACGGGAGGCAGCAGUGGGGAAUAUUGCACAAUGGGGGGAACCCUGAUGCAGCAACGCCGCGUGGGUGAAGAAGUACUCCGGUAUGUAAAGCCCUGUCAGCAGGGAAGAAAAUGACGGUACCUGACCAAUAAGCCCCGGCCAAAUACUUGCCAGCAGCCGCGGGAAUACGUAGGGGGCAAGCGGUCACCGGAUUUUAUGGGGGGAAAGGGAGCGUAGACGGCAAGGCAAGUCUGGAGGGAAAGCCCGUGGCCCAAACACGGGACCGCUUUGGAAACUGGGUUGCUGGAGUGCAGGAGGGGUAAGCGGAAUUCCUAGUGUAGCGGUGAAAUGCGUAGAUAUUAGGAGGAACACCGGUGGCGAAGGCGGCUUACUGGACUUUAACUGACGCUGAGGCUCGAAGGCGUGGGGAGCAAACAGGAUUAGAUACCCCAGUAGUC
RNAcentral lists this ribosomal RNA (440 nucleotides) under uncultured bacterium. RNAcentral's name for it is "partial 16S ribosomal RNA". It matches the Rfam family "Bacterial small subunit ribosomal RNA", at positions 338 to 795 of the family's 1533-position model. The record is from RNAcentral.